Molecule: ribosomal RNA, 258 nt
Filed under: uncultured prokaryote
Description: partial 16S ribosomal RNA
Rfam family: Bacterial small subunit ribosomal RNA
Source: RNAcentral
UACGUAGGGGACGAGCGUUGUCCGGAAUUACUGGGCGUAAAGGGCGCGCAGGCUGUAGAUCAAGUCAGCUGUGAAAUGUCUGGGCUUAACCCGGGCAUGCGGUUGAAACUGAUGUACUGGAGUGCUGUAGAGGCAAGUGGAAUUCCCAGUGUAGCGGUGAAAUGCGUAGAUAUUUGGAAGAACACCGGUGGCGAAGGCGACUUGCUGGGCAGCAACUGACGCUGAGGCGCGAAAGCCAGGGGAGCAAACGGGAUUAGA